Molecule: ribosomal RNA, 467 nt
Filed under: uncultured bacterium
Lineage: Bacteria
Description: partial 16S ribosomal RNA
Rfam family: Bacterial small subunit ribosomal RNA
Source: RNAcentral
GACGAACGCUGGCGGCGUGCUUAACACAUGCAAGUCGAACGAUGAAGCCCAGCUUGCUGGGUGGAUUAGUGGCGAACGGGUGAGUAACACGUGAGCAACGUGCCCGAAACUCUGGAAUAACUACCGGAAACGGUGGCUAAUACUGGAUAUGUGCCAGGUAGGCAUCUCCUCUGGUUGGAAAGAUUUUUCGGUUUCGGAUCGGCUCACGGCCUAUCAGCUUGUUGGUGGGGUAAUGGCCUACCAAGGCGACGACGGGUAGCCGGCCUGAGAGGGUGACCGGCCACACUGGGACUGAGACACGGCCCAGACUCCUACGGGAGGCAGCAGUGGGGAAUAUUGCACAAUGGGCGCAAGCCUGAUGCAGCAACGCCGCGUGAGGGAUGACGGCCUUCGGGUUGUAAACCUCUUUUAGUAGGGAAGAAGCGCAAGUGACGGUACCUGCAGAAAAAGCACCGGCUAACUACGUG